ACCCCAGACUCCUACGGGAGGCAGCAGUGGGGAAUAUUGGUCAAUGGGCGAGAGCCUGAACCAGCCAAGUCGCGUGAGGGAGUACUGCCCUAUGGGUUGUAAACCUCUUUUGCCGGGGAGCAAGGGCCGGGACGAGUCCCGGUCCGGAGAGUACCCGGAGAAAAAGCAUCGGCUAACUCCGUGCCAGCAGCCGCGGUAAUACGGAGGAUGCGAGCGUUAUCCGGAUUUAUUGGGUUUAAAGGGUGCGUAGGCGGGCUUUUAAGUCAGCGGUAAAAAUUCGGGGCUCAACCCCGUCCGGCCGUUGAAACUGGGGGCCUUGAGUGGGCGAGAAGAAGGCGGAAUGCGUGGUGUAGCGGUGAAAUGCAUAGAUAUCACGCAGAACCCCGAUUGCGAAGGCAGCCUUCCGGCGCCCUACUGACGCUGAGGCACGAAAGUGCGGGGAUCGAACAGGAUUAGAUACCCGAGUA
RNAcentral lists this ribosomal RNA (467 nucleotides) under uncultured bacterium. RNAcentral describes it as "bacterial SSU rRNA". It matches the Rfam family "Bacterial small subunit ribosomal RNA", at positions 328 to 792 of the family's 1533-position model. The record is from RNAcentral.